Molecule: transfer RNA, 156 nt
Filed under: Antigone antigone antigone (Indian Sarus crane)
Lineage: Eukaryota; Metazoa; Chordata; Aves; Gruiformes; Gruidae
Description: Grus antigone antigone (Indian Sarus crane) tRNA-Thr
Source: RNAcentral
CACCCAAUCUUCGAAAAUCCCACCCACUACUAAAAAUAAUCAACAACUCCCUAAUCGACCUACCCACCCCAUCAAACAUCUCCGCCUGAUGAAACUUCGGAUCUCUCCUAGGCAUCUGCCUAGCAACACAAAUCCUAACCGGCCUACUACUAGCCG